GGUCCGAGAGUAGUGGUGUUUAC
This 23-nucleotide non-coding RNA is filed under the name Cricetulus griseus (Chinese hamster). The record is from RNAcentral. Lineage: Eukaryota; Metazoa; Chordata; Mammalia; Rodentia; Cricetidae.